Cherax quadricarinatus is the source of this 82-nucleotide non-coding RNA. Lineage: Eukaryota; Metazoa; Arthropoda; Malacostraca; Decapoda; Parastacidae. The record is from the annotation of a RefSeq genome assembly.
GCUGCGGUGUCCGAGUGGUUAAGGAGAUGGACUUGAAAUCCAUUGGGCUCUUCCCGCACAGGUUCGAAUCCUGUCCGCAGCG